CGGAUCAAUUUCUUAAGGUAAUCACUUUGCAUGAGUUAGAAGACUAUCUACUACCUGAAUGUGGAUAAAGGUUAAAAUUUCAUAAUAUGAUGCUCAAUAAAGUUGGAAUGUUGAGAUUUGAGUGUGUACAGAAUUAAACUUAACAAACAGAAACAGCAAGAUCUUUGAAACAAGUUUCACAUAACAGAAAUAAUACAAAAAGAAAGGUAUCUAUCUAUCUAUUUAUAUAUAACAACAAAUUUUCUUACAUAUGAGAGAAAAAGAAACAAAUCAGAUAGUUCAAAAUUAUAUCCUCCAACAGCGGAUGGAAUUUAGCACAAGCAUCUUUCUUGAUUGAAAACUACUAUCGUAAUAAACAGCAGUCCAAGUUGGUAUAUUCCAGCUGUAUUUGUAGUAUAAGUGAAGGAAUGGUUCCGAAUCAUGCGUUCGCAGAGUAACUUGGUAUAUUCAACCCAAGAUGGAAUGGUUUCGCUUGAACAGAUUCAUCAGUAUAUGACUUGAUGCUUCCUGCAAUUUAUAAUGACUAACGUUAAUUACCCAAAAAAAAUAGCAUAAAUUAGGUACAAUUUAUAAUCAAAUAAGCAAAACUAACCAAUGACUAUUGAAUUUUUAAAAAGAAUCACAAUACUAAUUUCUGAAUUUACAAACACACUAAAAAAAUCAAACAACAAUAACAAAUAAAAAAUAGAACAAAUACCAAAUUUGAAUAGAAACAUAAACCCAGAAAUUAAAAUUAUGAACAAAAAUCAAACAACAAUAAUAAAUAAAAAAUAGAACAGCAUGAAUAGAAGCAUAAACCCAGAAAUUGAGAUCAGAAUCAUAAAAACAAAUACCAAAUUUGAGUAGAAACAUAAACCCAAAAAUUGAAAUUAUGAUUAGAAAUCAAACAACAAUAACAAAUAAAAAGUAGAACAUUAUGAAAAGAGACAUAAACCCAGAAAUUGAAAUCAGAAUCAUAAAAAUAAAUACCAAAAUUUUUUAACCCUAACUCAAAUUUUAAACAACCAAGUAAACUGAACAAAACCACUAAUUGAAUGAAAUAAGAACAAAACUCAAUUGAAUGACUUCAACGAAACAGAUUCAUGCAGCAGAACAUAAAAGGAUAAAAAAAUGAGCUAAAUGAAACAAGUUCAUACCUGAGGCUGAGGCUCCAUUGAAACUCUUAAAGUGUAGCGAUGAAGGGGGAGACGGCGCUGAGGACGGACGACCGAAAGACGCGGUGCACGAUGAAGGCAGAAAGAACGACGGCACUCUGAAGCUGAAAAGGGAAUUCUCAAAUAAAC
Molecule: long non-coding RNA, 1283 nt
Filed under: Arachis ipaensis
Lineage: Eukaryota; Viridiplantae; Streptophyta; Magnoliopsida; Fabales; Fabaceae
Description: long non-coding RNA (AIPA_LNC000457)
Source: RNAcentral